AAGUCGUAACAAGGUUUCCGUAGGUGAACCUGCGGAAGGAUCAUUACUAUCAAAAAAAGAAAGGCCACGGGGGCACGCUCUCCAGUAGGACAGCCAGUAGAUGUCCGGUUCUACUGGCUGGCAGCCGAACGGAAGGCACCAUCCUGUCAAAGGGACUGUCUUAGCUAGUAAGCUGAACGAGCUGCCUGUCUGAACCCUACCCUUGCUUUUUGCGCACCCAUUGUUUCCUCGGCAGGCUUGCCUGCCAGUAGGACCCCUUUAAAACCUUUUGUAAUUGCAAUCAGCGUCAGAAAUAACGUAAUCGUUACAACUUUCAACAACGGAUCUCUUGGUUCUG
RNAcentral lists this unclassified non-coding RNA (337 nucleotides) under Plenodomus biglobosus. Its description in RNAcentral is "Leptosphaeria biglobosa partial internal transcribed spacer region". The stretch from base 1 to 46 matches the Rfam family "Eukaryotic small subunit ribosomal RNA", at positions 1786 to 1831 of the family's 1831-position model. Lineage: Eukaryota; Fungi; Ascomycota; Dothideomycetes; Pleosporales; Leptosphaeriaceae. The record is from RNAcentral.